UUGAAUUAGAAAGUCAUCACUACCAAACUCGAAUGGGGUUGUUAUCAAUAUCAAUGUCGAGAAUUCACAAGAUUCCUGUGUAAUUAUGUAAUUUAUGACGCCAUAGCGUGCGCUCUAAUUAAUUUCUCAGUAACAUUGUAUCUUGGUUCAACCCAGUAAAAAGAGAUGAGUUGAAGUUGAAUUAGAUGGUUAUCACUACCAAACUAGAAUGGGGCUGCUAUCAAGUAGAGACAUCAACGUCUGUCGAUCUCGGUCCCUCGCCCUUGGCGGUGAAUGCAGCCACUUGUAUGGUAUAUCCCGUGUAGACAUCAAGCCCCCGCAACAAAACCCGCACCUCGCUUGGUCCCGUCUGGUUGCUAAGAUACGCCGUGCUAUGGACGCUCUUGAAGUACACCCUGUAACCUAGCAACACGCCUCGCACGUGACCGGACCAGUCCCCUUGGUGGUAAAUGCCACCAGCGUGAUGUCAUAAACAGUGAACGCCUUGAGGCCACGUAACGCCAACUCCGUGGAACUUGGCGGGGCGUGGAUUACAG
This is a long non-coding RNA of Nematostella vectensis (starlet sea anemone), 536 nucleotides long. RefSeq lists it as uncharacterized. The transcript has 3 exons. NCBI's taxonomy places the organism in Eukaryota, Metazoa, Cnidaria, Anthozoa, Actiniaria, Edwardsiidae. The record is from RefSeq and is a predicted model, not a curated record.